This 219-nucleotide ribosomal RNA is filed under the name Triticum aestivum (bread wheat). RNAcentral's name for it is "partial small subunit ribosomal RNA". The record is from RNAcentral. Lineage: Eukaryota; Viridiplantae; Streptophyta; Magnoliopsida; Poales; Poaceae.
AUGUCGCCCAUGCUGUCAUCAGAGUUGCUAACAAGUACUAUGAUUCUACCGAUCUCCAAUUGGUGGUACUUUUCCUUUCUUUCAUUCAGUAUUGGGAUCAGGGCGUCUUCAAUGUUACAGAAACAUGGGGUCUUAAACCAAAGAAUAGCCUCCAACAUGGGUCUUAAGCCAAAAAAUAGCCCAAGACCCACCCUCAAGCAUUAUGAGAAGAGGUCUUAA